CUUAACUGCUAACAAGGUCUAAAUGAAACCAUGGCCAUAGAUAAUGUUUGUUUCUUGCCUGGUGACUGUCCUGACAGGGGGCUGUCUAGUCGGGGGGUUGAUAAAGCUUAGCAUUCACAGGAAUUGGGAGCCAUGGAUGAAGAGACUCCAGCUGUCUGCCAACCAGAACCUGGUCGAUCUUUGGCAAAGUGGUUGACAGCUCCUACUUUGAGACAGUUGGGAAGGCUUGGGGAGAAGACAGGCAGAUCUUCCUAUUGCAAACCCUCUCCCAGAGCACUUGAUGAGCAGAAGAAUGAGAGCCAAAAGGGCAGCAUGUGAAACCCUCCAGCCUCCUCUCUUCCUUGCAGCUUGUUCUCCUGUGACCUUGCACGAAGCUGCUGUCCAUGUGGACAAGUAACCCAUCCAAGAAUAAGACUGUAUCCAGUUGGGGAAGAGCUGACUGUCUCCUUCUCUGAGGGUCCCUGAAGAAGACACGCUUGAGAGCUUGAGCAAGAGAAAAAAACCCUGUGCUCAGAUCCCAAUGAACUCGUCUGCUUCUCCUUGAACUUUUUGCAAUAUCAUCUAUGUUGGAAAUGAUCAUUUAAAGCCACAGUCUAGCAUAAUGUUUACAUCCCGAGGGUUGGAAUUGGAGUCAUUAAGUCUUGCAGACAACAAGGUAAUGUUCAACUACCGCUCUUCUAGGAGGGGGUGUCAUUUAGCACACUGCAGGGUGCUGAUGCGAGCUGCAUCCUGGGAACCUGAAAACUCUGGUACCUCUUUGUUGACCUAGGGUUCACCUUGUCUUUUUUGGAGUAGCCUGGCAAUGUGAUCUGCUCAUUUUCUUACGUUAAGUAGCUAGAUUUUCUUUGAAUUACUUGCAUUAGUGGAAAGAAUAAUAGGCUCUGGGAGAAGAUAGACCAGGGUAUGUGCUGUAGACAUAUUACUUCCCAGCCAUAUGACGUUGGGCAAGUUGUUUAAUUUCUCUUGAUCUUCUUUCCCUUUCUUCACCUAAAUUAUGGAGUUAUAAAAUGUCUCCUGCCUCUGGGUUUUGGGAGCUGAUACAAUGAAACAGUAGAUGUAAGGUAUCAUGCUGGUGCAACCUGGACAGGCAAAAAGCAUACUUUCUGGCACAGCUUGCAUCUCACUUCUCUCUGUGGACAUAUUAAUUCUCCUUAGUACAAAUCACAGGUGAUUACACUUAAAUGAAAGUUCUCUUCCAUAAGCCCAGAGCUGUGAGGAUUCUGUUUUUCCCCAGUUGACUGAGUGAGGUAGAGGGCAAAGGAAAGUAAGUGAUGUUAAUACCUGACACCACUCAUGUCCUCAUGGCGAUCUCCUGGUAACCAGAUAACUUCCUUCUAGCUGCACGUGUGACUAAAUUUACGUAGUCAACGAAGAAGUAAGACUAAGAUGAGAUGGGAGGAGAGCCUGCCUCCAGAUAUUGAAUAUCCUUGCCUGUGAGAGUCUUAAACAAAAAUUAAAAACCUAAGUCUUCAUUUUAAGGGAUUUUACCACAGCCAAUGCUCGGAAUCAUACUGAUAUACCUCCAUUAAACAUCAACCAGCCUAGAAACCACUAAUCCUAAAUGAUUGUCUAACAACUAAAGGAAAGAAACCAGAUGAAGAUCACUUCAUUUUGAUGAAGAAAUCUAUAGUAAUUAAACAUUAAUUUGAAGUAAAGAGGAGCGAGUCUUACCCCCCCCCCCACUUCCCCAUUUUUCAGAGUCUCUGUAUAAAUAGUGAUCAUUCUUUCCUCUACUCAUCAGCUGGUUGGGUUCCUCUGCUUGGUGACUUGCCAAUGUUGUGGGGCUUGGUGUAGCGGAACCCGGGUUCUAGUCAUAGCUCUAACACUCGGUAGAUGUGUGACAUCACCUACCUUUAUUCUGCUGUUUAGGAAACUGAGCCCCGGGGAAGUUAAUGCCGUCCUUGCCAAGGUCUUGAGGGAUUCAACUAGAUAAUUUCUGAAAAACAUCUGGGAUAUAGGAGGUGCUAAGUAAAUAAGAUUUUCUAUAGUGACUGUAAAUCAUGCUCGCCUCUGCUCAGGAAAGAGAAUCUCAGGAAAAGCUUGAGGAGGCCUGUCACCCUCACCUCUCUAUUUGUGUUGAAGAAGCUAAGUAGCAUAACCAGCCUAAUUCUGGUAUACUAUGUCAAGAACUGGAAAUGCCCACAGGUCAAAAGAUUUUAGUAACAUAUUGUUUUUUUAAAAACAUUCUAGAUGGGCACUUGGAUAUAGCUGUAGCUUGGUCAACAGGUUGGUUAACUUGUUGAAUGCCCCAAUCUAUACUCCUGGUUACUGCCUUCUCUCAGACUUCUGACUUUCAACUUGUUCUAUUCCAUUGCCAACCUUACAUAUGCAGAAUGCCCUCCCUAGUCUUCAGCCAAUUCAAGUUCCUUAUCUGCAGAUAUUGAAGUUGAACCUUCUCAAGAUGGUUUUGCACGGUUUAAUCAUCAUUCCUGCACACACCCUCUUCUAACCUUUGUAUAAUCUUGGACUAGAACAGUGAUUCUCUAGCAAAAUAACCCCCAGGGGACAUUUGGCAAUAUCUGAGGACAGUUCUGGUAGUCACAACUGAGUGAAAGCAACGCUAAUGGCAUCUAGCAGAAGAGGCCAGGGAUAUUGCUAAACAUACAGCAUGCACAGGACUGCCCUCCGGAACAAAGACUUAGCCAGCUUAAAAUGUUCAAAGCCCUGAGAUUGAGAAACUCUGAGGUUGGGUGACUACAGAUUUUUUUAAUCUAAGCUGGACAUUCUGGGAAGUGAAUGAUGGUGCUCUUAACAAUGAAGCUCACAUAGCAGGUGUAACCUGGGACUUAGUAUUGCAGGCAUAUGGGAUCUGUGGAUCUGUGGGAUCUGAGUUUGUUUUCUUUUGGACUGGGGAGGUACUGUUUAUAAGUAUAAUUUUAAUUUGCUUUCUUGACUUGCUUUUGGGCGUUUUUCACCAGUUAGACUCUUAGCCACCCUGAGAUAGGAGGUGCAGACUCCGUAUCUUUCUCUUUUCCUUCUAGGACAUUAUACAGAAUACCUACUUGAUAAACCUUCUUGACUGACUGUGCUUAUUUGUAAUCUCUGUUCACAAUUGGGUCCUUGACAAAACCUACUAUAAACUUCUCAACCAGCAAUUAUAUUAUACAUCAAAAGUGUGGGUGAAAUGAUGGAGAAGAAUUCAACAAAUAGCAUUGCUCAUAAUGUAGAGAAGAUUCUAUCUUCUAUAAUAUGUAAUUUGAUGAAAUAUGCUAAGCAAGGUACAAUCCCUAUAAUUGGUACUUAUUUAAAUUACUCAUGUUUACUGUAAAUGUUUUUACUGUAAAAAAUGUGUUUCUAUUGAAUUAGAUAAAAUUUUAUUAUUGAAAGCAUGGUUAAACAAUUAAAAUGAACAAAGAUUCCCUAAAUCCUGCUCAGGAUAGAGUAGAUAUAUAAUAACUAUUAGUUCUGUUUGCCUUCCAUUACAUGUAACACUUCAACAAUCACUUUAAGCCAUUGAAAUUGUUUUAUACAUUUUUAAAGUAUUGAUUCUAGGUGAUUUUUAACAUUACUGAAGAUGGGUAAAAUUGAUUGGUAUAGGGGCACCUGGGUGGCUCAGUUGAUUAAGUGUCUGCCUUCCGCUCAGGUCCUGGGAUCGAGGCCUGAGUGGGUCUCCCCUUCUCAGAUGCCUGGCCCUCCUCUUUGCCCACUCCCCGCCCCCUGAGUGUGCAUGCAUGCUGGUGCUUUCUCUCUCUCUCUCUCUCAAACAAAAAAAUCUUUUAAAAAGUUGGUUGGUAUAUUAGUUUUGCAGGGCUCUGUAACAAAUCACCACAGACUGGGUGGCUCAAGUGAUAGAAAUGAUAGUCUUAGAUUAAGACUUAAAUGAUAGAAAGUUAUAGUCUCACAGCUCUGGACGCUAGAAGUCCAAAAUCAAGGUAUUGGCAGCUCUGGUUCCCUUUGAGGGCCAUGAGGAAGGAUUGGUUCUAGGCCCCUCUCCUUGGCCCUUGGGAGACAUCUUCUUCCCUCUAUAUGUAUUUCUGUGCUUUAAUUUCUUUUUUCUUUAUUAUUUUUUAAAAAUAUUUUAUUUAUUUAUUAAUGAGAGACACAGACAGAGAGGCAGAGACACAGGCAGAGGGAGAUGCAGGCUUUUUGUGGGUAGCCCGAUGUGGGACUCGAUCCCAGGACCCUGGGAUCACGACCUGAGCUGAAGACAGAGGCUCAAACACUGAGCCACCCAGGAGUCCCUUAAUUUCCCUUUUAUACAAGGAUACCAGUUAUACUGGAUUAGGGCCCAUUCUGAAGAACUCAUUUUAACUUGAUUAUCUCUGUAAAGACCCUGUCCCCAAAUAAGGUCUCAUUCUGAGGUACCGGGUAUUAGGACUUCAACAUAUUAAUUUAGGGAGUACACUUCUACCCAUCACAGCUAAUUAAAGAAACGACAUAAAGAGAUUAUGAGCUACAUUUAAAUUUUAUACAAAGGGUAAUUUCAUAGUACCUUAGAAUAAAGAGAACAUUGUGGAGUCA
Vulpes vulpes (red fox) is the source of this 4461-nucleotide long non-coding RNA. The record is from Ensembl. NCBI's taxonomy places the organism in Eukaryota, Metazoa, Chordata, Mammalia, Carnivora, Canidae.